CGUUUUCUCUGUCUUUUGUUUCUUCUCUUUUGUGUAUCUGUAUAAUGGCUUCCUUGCUGGGGAUAAUAGGUGCAGUGGAUUGGAUGAUCCCCUCCACAACCAGGCGUGGUGUGUGUGAUGUAGCUAGCCGGAGUGUGUGAAGUGAAUUGGGAAUCAAAAACCGAAAAUCUCCUUCGGUCGUUAUGGGUUUUUCCAGGGGAAAGAAAAUUACUCACG
Molecule: long non-coding RNA, 216 nt
Filed under: Vigna radiata
Lineage: Eukaryota; Viridiplantae; Streptophyta; Magnoliopsida; Fabales; Fabaceae
Description: long non-coding RNA (VRAD_LNC015217)
Source: RNAcentral